GAGCACGUAGGUGGGUUUGUAAGUCAGAUGUGAAAGCCUUCUGUUCAACGGAAGAAUUGCAUCUGAAACUGCUAAUCUUGAGUAUAGGAGGGGAGAAUGGAACUUCUGGUGGAGCGGUGAAAUGCGUAGAUAUCAGAAGGAACGCCGGCGGCGAAAGCGAUUCUCUGGCCUAUUACUGACACUCAGUGUGCGAAAGCUAGGGGAGCAAACGGGAUUAGAUACCCCGGUAGUCCCAGCCGUAAACGAUGGGCACUAAGUAGAGGGGUUUU
RNAcentral lists this ribosomal RNA (269 nucleotides) under uncultured anaerobic ammonium-oxidizing bacterium. RNAcentral's name for it is "partial 16S ribosomal RNA". It matches the Rfam family "Bacterial small subunit ribosomal RNA", at positions 565 to 832 of the family's 1533-position model. The record is from RNAcentral.